This 253-nucleotide ribosomal RNA is filed under the name uncultured bacterium. Its description in RNAcentral is "partial 16S ribosomal RNA". It matches the Rfam family "Bacterial small subunit ribosomal RNA", at positions 524 to 776 of the family's 1533-position model. The record is from RNAcentral.
GACAGAGGCCUCGAGCGUUAGGCGGAAUCACUGGGCUUAAAGCGUGUGUAGGCGGGCCCGUAAGUGUCUUGUGAAAUCCCACGGCUCAACCGUGGAACUGCUGGGCAUACUGCGGGUCUUGGGCCAACUAGGGGCAGCCGGAACAAGCGGUGGAGCGGUGAAAUGCGUAGAUAUCGCUUGGAACGCCAAUGGUGAAAACAGGUCGCUGGGGAUGAGCUGACGCUGAGACACGAAAGCCAGGGGAGCAAACGGG